This 377-nucleotide ribosomal RNA is filed under the name uncultured soil bacterium. RNAcentral describes it as "bacterial SSU rRNA". It matches the Rfam family "Bacterial small subunit ribosomal RNA", at positions 26 to 396 of the family's 1533-position model. The record is from RNAcentral.
AGGACGAACGCUGGCGGCGCGCUUAACACAUGCAAGUCGAGCGAGAACCGGGACUUCGGUCCCGGGGACAGCGGCGAACGGGUGAGUAACACGUGGGUAAUCAACCCUCGGCACCGGGAUAGCCCGAGGAAACUCGGAUUAAUACCGGAUAGCCCCUCCGACUCUCGAGUCGGUCGGGAAAGGUAGCUUAGGCCUCUGGCCGGGGACGAGCCCGCGGCGGAUUAGCUUGUUGGUGGGGUAAUGGCCUACCAAGGCAACGAUCCGUAGCUGGUCUGAGAGGACGAUCAGCCACACUGGGACUGAGACACGGCCCAGACUCCUACGGGAGGCAGCAGUGGGGAAUCUUGCGCAAUGGGCGAAAGCCUGACGCAGCAACG